Molecule: ribosomal RNA, 769 nt
Filed under: uncultured bacterium
Lineage: Bacteria
Description: bacterial SSU rRNA
Rfam family: Bacterial small subunit ribosomal RNA
Source: RNAcentral
UGCGGCGUGCCUAACACAUGCAAGUCGAGCGAAGCUCUUUGCUUAUAUUCUUCGGAUGAAGAGGAUUGUGACUGAGCGGCGGACGGGUGAGUAACGCGUGGGUAACCUGCCUCAUACGGGGGGAUAACAGUUAGAAAUGACUGCUAAUACCGCAUAAGACCACAGCACCGCGUGGUGCGGGGGUAAAAACUCCGGUGGUAUGAGAUGGACCCGCGUCUGAUUAGCUAGUUGGUAAGGUAACGGCUUACCAAGGCGACGAUCAGUAGCCGACCUGAGAGGGUGACCGGCCACAUUGGGACUGAGACACGGCCCAAACUCCUACGGGAGGCAGCAGUGGGGAAUAUUGCACAAUGGGGGAAACCCUGAUGCAGCGACGCCGCGUGAGCGAAGAAGUAUUUCGGUAUGUAAAGCUCUAUCAGCAGGGAAGAAAAUGACGGUACCUGACUAAGAAGCACCGGCUAAAUACGUGCCAGCAGCCGCGGUAAUACGUAUGGUGCAAGCGUUAUCCGGAUUUACUGGGUGUAAAGGGAGCGUAGACGGAUGGGCAAGUCUGAUGUGAAAACCCGGGGCUCAACCCCGGGACUGCAUUGGAAACUGUUCAUCUAGAGUGCUGGAGAGGUAAGUGGAAUUCCUAGUGUAGCGGUGAAAUGCGUAGAUAUUAGGAGGAACACCAGUGGCGAAGGCGGCUUACUGGACAGUAACUGACGUUGAGGCUCGAAAGCGUGGGGAGCAAACAGGAUUAGAUACCCUGGUAGUCCACGCCGUAAAC